UGCAAAGUUAAACUGUUAGGGCGCAACUGAGUAGUCUAACGUUGUUCUGGUUUUGGUUCUUGUGAACGUCGACAUCGAUUCGUUCCCAAUUUACACUCUCGGGGCAUAAUAAAAUAAUAUAAUUAGGUUAUACUAUUUGUUCGAUAGAAUGAGAAAAAGUACUCGUUGCAAAGUUAUACUGUUAGGACGCAAUUGAGUAGUCUAAUGUUGUUCCGGUUUUUGUUCUUGUGAACGUUGACAUCGAUUCAUUCCAAAUUUACACUCUCGGGGCAUAGUAGAACAAUAUAAUUAGCUUUUACUCUUUGUUCGAUAAAAUGAGAAAAAGUACCCCUUGCAAAGUUAUACUGUUAGGGCGCAACUCAGUAGUCUAAUGUUGUUCCGAUUUUUGUUCUUGUGAACAUUGACAUCGAUUCGUUCCAAAUUUACUCUUUCGGGGCAUAAUAGAACAAUAUAAUUAGGUUUAACUCUUUGUUCGAUAGAAUGAGAAAAAGUACUCGUUGCAAUGUUAUANNNNNNNNNNNNNNNNNNNNNNNNNGAUUUAAUGAGAAAAAGUACUCGUUGCAAAGUUAUACUGUUUAGGCGCAACUGAGUAUUGUAAUAUUGUUCCGGUUUUAGUUCUUGUGAACGUUGACAUCGAUUCGUUCCAAAUUUACACUAUCGGGGCAUAAUAGAGCAAUAUAAUUAGGUUUUACUCUUUGUUGGAUAGAAUGAGAAAAAGUACUCGUCGCAAGGUUAUACUGUUAGGGUGCAACUGAGUAGUCUAAUGUUGUUCCGGUUUUGGUUCUUGUAAAUGUUGACAUCGAUUCGUUCCAAAUUUAUACUCUCGGGGCAUAAUAGAACAAUAUAAAUAGGUUUUUCUCUUUUUUCGAUAGAAUGAGAAAAAAUACUCGUCGCAAAGUUAUACUGUUAGGGCGUAAUUGAGUAUUCUAAUGUUGUUCCGGUUUUGGUUCUUGCGAACGUUGACAACAAUUCAUUCCAAAUUUAUACUCUUGGGGCAUAAUAGAAUAAUAUAAUUAGGUUUUACUCUUUGUUCGAUAGAAUGAGAAAUCGUACUCGUCGCAAAGUUACACUGUUAGUUCGCAAUUGAGUAGUCUAAUGUUGUUCCGGUUUUUAUUCUUGUGAACGUUGACAUCGAUUCGUUCCAAAUAUACACUCUCUGGGCAUAAUAGGAGAAUAUAAUUAGGUUUUACGCUUUGUUCGAUAGAAAGAGAAAAAGUACUCGUUGCAAAGUUAUGCUGUUAGGGCGCAANNNNNNNNNNNNNNNNNNNNNNNNNCAUCGAUUCGUUCCAAAUUUAUACUCUCGGGGCAUAAUAGAACAAUAUAAAUAGGUUUUUCUCUUUUGUUCGAUAGAAUGAGAAAAAGUACUCGUCGCAAAGUUAUACUGUUAGGGCGUACCUGAGUAUUCUAGUGUUGUUCCGAUUUUUGUUCUUGUGAACGUUGACAUCGAUUCAUUCCAAAUUUACACUCUCGGGGCAUAAUAGAAUAAUAUAAUUAGGUUUUACUCUUUGUUCGAUCGAAUGAGAAAUAGUACUCGUCGCAAAGUUAUACUGUUAGUCCGCAAUUGAGUAGUCUAAUGUUGUUCCGGUUUUUGUUCUUGUGAAUGUUGACAUCAAUUCGUUCCAAAUUUACACUCUCUGGGCAUAAUAGAACAAUAUAAUUCGGUUUUACGCUUUGUUCGAUAGAAAGAGAAAAAGUACUCGUUGCAAAGUUAUACUGAUUGGGCGCAACUGAGUAUUGUAAUAUUGUUCCGGUUUUAGUUCUUGUGAACGUUGACAUCGAUUCGUUCCAAAUUUACACUCUCGGGGCAUAAUAAAAGAAUAUAAUUAG
This 1827-nucleotide long non-coding RNA is filed under the name Ananas comosus (pineapple). Its description in RNAcentral is "long non-coding RNA (ACOM_LNC010284)". Lineage: Eukaryota; Viridiplantae; Streptophyta; Magnoliopsida; Poales; Bromeliaceae. The record is from RNAcentral.